ACGCUCGACACCUACGGGAGGCAGCAGUGGGGAAUAUUGCACAAUGGGGGAAACCCUGAUGCAGCGACGCCGCGUGGAGGAAGAAGGUCUUCGGAUUGUAAACUCCUGUUGUUGGGGAAAAAGAGGAUGGUACCCAACAAGGAAGUGACGGCUAACUACGUGCCAGAAGCCGCGGUAAUCUGAGCGGGCUGGCAAGGC
RNAcentral lists this ribosomal RNA (198 nucleotides) under uncultured bacterium. RNAcentral describes it as "partial 16S ribosomal RNA". It matches the Rfam family "Bacterial small subunit ribosomal RNA", at positions 328 to 539 of the family's 1533-position model. The record is from RNAcentral.